RNAcentral lists this ribosomal RNA (206 nucleotides) under uncultured bacterium. RNAcentral describes it as "partial 16S ribosomal RNA". It matches the Rfam family "Bacterial small subunit ribosomal RNA", at positions 568 to 774 of the family's 1533-position model. The record is from RNAcentral.
AGCGCAGGCGGGAAACUAAGCGGAUCUUAAAAGUGCGGGGCUCAACCCCGUGAUGGGGUCCGAACUGGUUUUCUUGAGUGCAGGAGAGGAAAGCGGAAUUCCCAGUGUAGCGGUGAAAUGCGUAGAUAUUGGGAAGAACACCAGUGGCGAAGGCGGCUUUCUGGACUGUAACUGACGCUGAGGCUCGAAAGCUAGGGUAGCGAACA